This 537-nucleotide ribosomal RNA is filed under the name uncultured bacterium. RNAcentral's name for it is "partial 16S ribosomal RNA". It matches the Rfam family "Bacterial small subunit ribosomal RNA", at positions 355 to 902 of the family's 1533-position model. The record is from RNAcentral.
UGGGGAAUAUUGCGCAAUGGGCGAAAGCCUGACGCAGCGACGCCGCGUGAGGGAUGAAGGCCUUCGGGUUGUAAACCUCUUUCAGCAGGGAAGAAGCGAGAGUGACGGUACCUGCAGAAGAAGCACCGGCUAACUACGUGCCAGCAGCCGCGGUAAUACGUAGGGUGCAAGCGUUGUCCGGAAUUAUUGGGCGUAAAGAGCUCGUAGGCGGUUUGUCGCGUCUGCUGUGAAAACUCGGGGCUCAACUCCGAGCUUGCAGUGGGUACGGGCAGACUAGAGUGCGGUAGGGGAGACUGGAAUUCCUGGUGUAGCGGUGAAAUGCGCAGAUAUCAGGAGGAACACCGGUGGCGAAGGCGGGUCUCUGGGCCGUAACUGACGCUGAGGAGCGAAAGCAUGGGGAGCGAACAGGAUUAGAUACCCUGGUAGUCCAUGCCGUAAACGUUGGGCGCUAGGUGUGGGGCUCUUUCCACGAGUUCUGUGCCGCAGCUAACGCAUUAAGCGCCCCGCCUGGGGAGUACGGCCGCAAGGCUAAAACGU